RNAcentral lists this long non-coding RNA (1954 nucleotides) under Homo sapiens (human). RNAcentral's name for it is "HSALNT0223965". Lineage: Eukaryota; Metazoa; Chordata; Mammalia; Primates; Hominidae. The record is from RNAcentral.
UACACUUAUUCCUCGCUGCCGCUUGUAAUAAUCCCUCCGAAGCUGAGGAUGAAAUUGGUUUCUCCGUGAUCUCUCUUUCCACCCUGGGUGAUCCCCAUAGGAUUCUUCACAAGGACGCAAAUCUUUGUCGGGGUUCAUUGGUGGCUGUGGUUUUCCUGCCCAGCCCACUACCACUGGGCCGUAGAUGAGAUGGAUAUCUUGUCCAGCCCGCUGCCACUGGACCAUUUCUGCAGCAGUUGCAUCUGUUACACAGUAAAGGAGUCCUAGAGAAGUGCUGCCAAGGGGAACUCAUAAAAAAGCCGCUGCUGGAGACUCAGAUGUGCCCUGCUGAGCGAGGCAGUCUCCUCCUACUUACCGUGCUGCAGUGAGCCGCAGUCACCCGCGGGGGAGUUGAAGAAUAAGUUGAAUAUGGUUGAACACGGUGGCAUCAUACUGCUCAGCCAUCUCUGGGGUUAACUGCAGAUGAGAUAAUUCCUGUAUAACUCCUGGAUCCUCUAGGGCAUUCUGCCACUGUAUCCACACUUCAUGGUACAAGGGCGAAUGGACAGAUCUCCAGCUUCCAAGUGAAACGUGAAGGCGACUCGACAAGGAUUUCUGUUAGGACAAUAGUUUUGCUUCAUGAAGACCAGGAAGGCUUGAACUCAGGACAAUGGGUAUCUUGAAUUUACUCAGUUCCCAUCUCUUAAGUUAUUAAACAUUAUUUCCCACCUGUCUUGUGUAUUUUUGCUUGAUCCCUAUAAUAUGGGGGCAGGCAUAAUUUUGUAUAACCCCUGUAAGACGUGUGCCAGGUACAAUUGGCCCUAUUUCCUAUGUGGGGAAACUGAGACUCAGAGCAGAGAAGCGACUCUCCUAAGUCACACGUUGUAUUGCUGGCAGAGUCUCGGGCAGGAGUCGUGCCUCCUGAUUUCCAGGUACAUGCUGCUUUUGCUAGAACCAAUCUAUUAAAGAACCAAGACUCUUUUAUUUGGAAUUAAUGAGGGAUUCCAAAAAUAGUGUUAGCAGUGCUUAACAAAUUUGAAAGAGCAAAGGAACUGAAGCCAGAGAAGACUGAGAUAGGGGAGCUGUUUCAUUGUAUCAAUUUCUAUUCACUUUGUUAAUAAUUGAUGCCACAUUUACUCAUUGUUAUAUAUUAAAAAUACUUGAUUUGCUACAAGGUAAAAAUGACCCAUUGACUUUGUCUCUCAACCUACGCUAACCCUAAAUGAGAAUCUCAUUGUGACCACGAUUUUGCAAAAUUGAUUAAAUGGAAAUAAAUGCAUUCAAGUGUCAAAGGCUGCAUUGGGAAUGGUUGCUAAUGAGCUUGACCUUUCAGAGCUUCCUGGCUGGGUGCACAGUAGGUGUUCAAUGAGUACUGAUGGAUGUCUUGACUGACUGAGAUUUCGGUUAGCCUUCCAUCCCCGGGAGCAUGGUGCCUCUAAUGUGUUAGAUGGCAUCAUGUUCCAAAAAUGAAUCGAUCUAUAAAUUUGAAGACUAAUUUGGAAACAUUUUAACCUUACUAAACAGAAUAGUAUGAUAAAACCUAGGUACCCUACGCCAGCUUCAAAUCAAUAUUCUGCUGUUUUUGUUUACUUCCCUUAACACACAUCACUGCCUCCCCACCCCCAACACACACACACUUUUUUGUUUUUGAGACAGAGUCUCGCUCUGUCACCGAGGCUGGGGUGUAGUGGCGCCAUCUCGGCUCACUGCAAGCUCCGCCUCCUGGGUUCAUGCCAUUCUCCUGUCUCGGCCUCCCAGUCUCCAGAGUAGCUGGGACUUCAGGUGUCCACUUUUUUUUUUUUUUUUUGGCUGAAGUACCAUAAAGGAAAUUUCAAACAUUGUGUCAUUCACCUGUGAAUAAAUCUGUAUGUACCUCCAAUAGAUAGACUAAAAAAACCACAACCUUAUCACCACAACACAAUUAGCCAUUGUUUCUUAAUAUCAUAGGAGGCCUCUUCCAUGCUGAAUGCUCCAU